UGAAGAUAGAAUUUCUUCGAAAAGUCGAUCCAUUUAACUAGGUGCAUAUAUAUAUAUAUAUACAUAGAUAAGAUAAUAAAGUGCAGAAUCCAGGUGUAUCUGUUUGAUCGAGAAAUUUCAAUGUGACACAAUUCGUGGUUUAGGCGACGUUCUCUACCUGUUGCACGCUGCUUUCAUAGGAAAUUGCCUUACCGACAUAUUGAACAUUGUCAUUCCUGUCUAUGGACAAGCAACCUUGUGCAGAAAUCCUACCACUGCAGGAUUACAACGCCACCUUUUUCCCCCUCCUCCUCUAUCGUUAUCGGUCUCGGUGUGUAUGAUAAAGCAUAACACUCGUUGCUCUCAUUUUUAUACGUAUUUGCACCUGCCAUGCAGCAAUUUAUCAUCAUACCCUUUAAAGAUUAUUGUGCUCGACGAUAUUGUUCCAAUCAUUUAAUUUUGUAAACGUGAUAUGGAAAAUAUUUGGAAAGUGAUCUUUAUGAUCCCUCUUCUCGAUUAUUUAUCUUUUAAAAGUUUAAAAAUUGUGUUUCUAAAAAAAAAAAAAUAACGAGGAUAUUUUUUUAUUCUAUCUAGUGUGAAAUUAUUCUACGUUUGAGGAAUUGAAUUAUUAUAUAAACAUGGAGAUCAGAAAAGGGGUCGCUGUUUCUCGAUUUCUCGAUUUUUCCAAGAAUUUUUUUUUUUUUGGAAAGGAAAAUUAGAUCACGAAGAAAUUCUGAGGAAUAUUUCGUAGAAUUAAUUUUCUUCUAGUCUGCGUGCCCUGAAAAGAAGAAGAACAAAAAAAGGAGUUAUUUUGAUCAAAAGAGAAAAGUUGUGGAAAUGGUGCAACGAAAUCAACAAAUUUUCAUCCCCCUAACUCUUGAUUACUUUCGUCGAGGCAAAGAAAAAUCCUCUCUCGAUUUGUCCAAUAUCUUAAUUAAGAGAGAACUAUUCAUCCAUUAGAAAUCUCAGGACGUAAUAUCAGAAUUGAUAUAAUUCCCGACUUCCUUUUCAUCGAAAAUUGAAUUGGUCCCAAUAAUAUACGAAAUUUUGUAAUCGAGAUAGAAAAACUUAAAAUUCCAAGGAUCAAAUUUUCCAAUUUUCUUAAUUUUCUCGAAUAUAUUUCAACCAGGAAGUUGAAGAAACGAAACCAGGCUAUUCUAAAUUUUUCUCUCGUUCCAUUUCUUUUUAUGAUUCUUUCUUUACCUUCAAAAAAGAAGAGAUCAACAUUAAUACUAAUAUACAACGAUCUUUGACGUUAAAAAGAAAAAAAAAAUUUCGUCUUUUCAAAAGACGUUCACACGUCUUGUUGUUUCACACGUUUCGUUCUAAUAUGAACGCGCAUCGCGUCAGGGAAAUUAAUUCUGCUUCGUAGAAGGAUACUAAGUGUCUACCUGUUGCACCACGCUGUCAGACGAAGUGGUCUCGAUCGUUUUUCGAGAAUCGCGAAAGUGAAGGGAGAAAUAGGCAGAAAGAUAGAGAAAGAAAAGAAAAGAAGGAGAGAGAGAGAAAGAGAGAGAGAGAGAGAGCACUUGGCGAAUGAAAAAUUUUACGCGUCUACGCGUAGGAAGAAACCUACUGGUACGUCGCAACUUGUUGCUGGUCGCUCAGAGAUCUCUCCACUUCUCGAUUUCCGGUGACGCCUCUUGCACACAGAUGCUGUGGGAAGAGAAUUUUCAUCGUAUCCUCGUUCUUGGAUGAUCGAUCGUUUAUAUAUAUUGUGAUAUUUUGUGAACGAUUGAAAUUUACCUGUGGACACCAGUUACCCAAUUAUGAUUUGUUGCAAAAUGAAAUCAACAUCAUGGAAUAUUAACUCGAACAUUUAUGCUAAAUCGUUAUAGAUGUCGUCAAUUUGGAUCACGUUUUACAUCAGGAAAAUCGGCUCGAUAAAAAAAGUUGUAUCCAGAUUUCGAGGGUUGUAAAAUGGUUAAGAGAAGCGGACGGACAAUUGGAGCACGAAACGGAACAAUAAAGAUAUGAUGCGUGGGAUGAUGUGCAGUGAAAUAAAAGAAUAUGUGAGAAUAUGUGAGAAAACGAUUUUGUGAAAUCAAGCUCUUUUGAUAAAUUUCAAUUUCAUUUUAUGACUGUAUAUAUACACAUGAUAUUUUCUCAUGAUGAUAAUAACGAUGUAAUAAAAAGAUAAUAUAAU
Molecule: long non-coding RNA, 2125 nt
Organism: Apis mellifera (honey bee)
Lineage: Eukaryota; Metazoa; Arthropoda; Insecta; Hymenoptera; Apidae
Exons: 6
Source: RefSeq, a predicted model, not a curated record